ACAGAGGGUGCAAGCGUUAAUCGGAAUUACUGGGCGUAAAGCGCACGCAGGCGGCUGCAUAAGCCGGUCGUGAAAUCCCCGGGCUUAACCUGGGAAUUGCGAUCGGGACUGUGCGGCUAGAGUGUUGGAGAGGACAGCGGAAUUCCCGGUGUAGCAGUGAAAUGCGUAGAUAUCGGGAGGAACAUCAGUGGCGAAGGCGGCUGUCUGGCCAAACACUGACGCUCAGGUGCGAAAGCGUGGGGAGCAAACAGGAUUAGAUACCCUGGUAGUCCACGCCGUAAACGAUGAGAACUAGACGUCGGAGGGGUCUGCUCUUCGGUGUCGUAGCUAACGCGCUAAGUUCUCCGCCUGGGGAGUACGGCCGCAAGGUUG
This 372-nucleotide ribosomal RNA is filed under the name uncultured bacterium. RNAcentral's name for it is "bacterial SSU rRNA". It matches the Rfam family "Bacterial small subunit ribosomal RNA", at positions 525 to 896 of the family's 1533-position model. The record is from RNAcentral.